GAUGAACGCUGGCGGCGUGCCUAAUACAUGCAAGUCGAGCGAACAGACGAGAAGCUUGCUUCUCUGAUGUUAGCGGCGGACGGGUGAGUAACACGUGGAUAACCUACCUAUAAGACUGGGAUAACUUCGGGAAACCGGAGCUAAUACCGGAUAAUAUUUUGAACCGCAUGGUUCAAAAGUGAAAGACGGUCUUGCUGUCACUUAUAGAUGGAUCCGCGCUGCAUUAGCUAGUUGGUAAGGUAACGGCUUACCAAGGCAACGAUGCAUAGCCGACCUGAGAGGGUGAUCGGCCACACUGGAACUGAGACACGGUCCAGACUCCUACGGGAGGCAGCAGUAGGGAAUCUUCCGCAAUGGGCGAAAGCCUGACGGAGCAACGCCGCGUGAGUGAUGAAGGUCUUCGGAUCGUAAAACUCUGUUAUUAGGGAAGAACAUAUGUGUAAGUAACUGUGCACAUCUUGACGGUACCUAAUCAGAAAGCCACGGCUAACUACGUGCCAGCAGCCGCGGUAAUACGUAGGUGGCAAGCGUUAUCCGGAAUUAUUGGGCGUAAAGCGCGCGUAGGCGGUUUUUUAAGUCUGAUGUGAAAGCCCACGGCUCAACCGUGGAGGGUCAUUGGAAACUGGAAAACUUGAGUGCAGAAGAGGAAAGUGGAAUUCCAUGUGUAGCGGUGAAAUGCGCAGAGAUAUGGAGGAACACCAGUGGCGAAGGCGACUUUCUGGUCUGUAACUGACGCUGAUGUGCGAAAGCGUGGGGAUCAAACAGGAUUAGAUACCCUGGUAGUCCACGCCGUAAACGAUGAGUGCUAAGUGUUAGGGGGUUUCCGCCCCUUAGUGCUGCAGCUAACGCAUUAAGCACUCCGCCUGGGGAGUACGACCGCAAGGUUGAAACUCAAAGGGAUUGACGGGGACCCGCACAAGCGGUGGAGCAUGUGGUUUAAUUCGAAGCAACGCGAAGAACCUUACCAAAUCCUGACAUCCUUUGACAACUCUAGAGAUAGAGCUUUCCCCUUCGGGGGACAAAGUGACAGGUGGUGCAUGGUUGUCGUCAGCUCGUGUCGUGAGAUGUUGGGUUAAGUCCCGCAACGAGCGCAACCCUUAAGCUUAGUUGCCAUCAUUAAGUUGGGCACUCUAAGUUGACUGCCGGUGACAAACCGGAGGAAGGUGGGGAUGACGUCAAAUCAUCAUGCCCCUUAUGAUUUGGGCUACACACGUGCUACAAUGGACAAUACAAAGGGCAGCGAAACCGUGAGGUCAAGCAAAUCCCAUAAAGUUGUUCUCAGUUCGGAUUGUAGUCUGCAACUCGACUACAUGAAGCUGGAAUCGCUAGUAAUCGUAGAUCAGCAUGCUACGGUGAAUACGUUCCCGGGUCU
This 1372-nucleotide ribosomal RNA is filed under the name uncultured bacterium. RNAcentral's name for it is "bacterial SSU rRNA". It matches the Rfam family "Bacterial small subunit ribosomal RNA", at positions 28 to 1381 of the family's 1533-position model. The record is from RNAcentral.